Molecule: ribosomal RNA, 512 nt
Filed under: uncultured bacterium
Lineage: Bacteria
Description: partial 16S ribosomal RNA
Rfam family: Bacterial small subunit ribosomal RNA
Source: RNAcentral
GACGAACGCUGGCGGCGUGCCUAAUACAUGCAAGUCGAGCGGAUGGAAGGAAGCUUGCUUCCUAAAGUCAGCGGCGGACGGGUGAGUAACACGUGGGCAACCUGCCCCUAAGAUCGGGAUAACUUCGGGAAACCGGAGCUAAUACCGGAUAUGAUUAUGUCUCACAUGAGACAUAAUGGAAAGACGGUUUCGGCUGUCCCUUAGGGCUGGGCACGCGGCGCAUUAGCUAGUUGGUGAGGUAACGGCUCACCAAGGCGACGAUGCGUAGCCGACCUGAGAGGGUGAUCGGCCACACUGGGACUGAGACACGGCCCAGACUCCUACGGGAGGCAGCAGUAGGGAAUCUUCCGCAAUGGACGAAAGUCUGACGGAGCAACGCCGCGUGAGUGAAGAAGGUUUUCGGAUCGUAAAACUCUGUUGUUAGGGAAGAACAAGUACCAUAGUAACUGAUGGUACCUUGACGGUACCUAAUCAGAAAGCCACGGCUAACUACGUGCCAGCCGCCGCCGUAA